RNAcentral lists this long non-coding RNA (5986 nucleotides) under Cricetulus griseus (Chinese hamster). Its description in RNAcentral is "lncRNA (ENSCGRG00015031232.1)". The record is from RNAcentral. Lineage: Eukaryota; Metazoa; Chordata; Mammalia; Rodentia; Cricetidae.
GUGAGUAGGGAUUGCACACAUCAAUUGUAUUUAAUGUCAGAACUAGCUGGAUAUGUUUUCACGUUUUUCUUUUUUUAUACUUACAUUUUUGUCAUGGUGUCAACAGUAUAAUUUUAUAGGAAAACGUUUAUUAACAUUGUACAGUUAAGUAGGAUAAGUGGCAAAUUGUCACAGUAGGAAAGCAUUGGUAUGGGAAUGAGAAUUCCUGAGGACAGGUAGCAGAUCUGUUGCUAAUGAGCAAGGUCAUGUCCUUUCAUUUCCAAAACUAACAGUCUGCAAAAGCGAAGAAUAAGAAAUGCCAACUCGGCCAGGCAUUGGUGGCGCACACCUUUAAUCCCAGCACUCGGGAGGCAGAGGCAGGAGUUCGAGGCCAGCCUGGUCUCCAAAGCUAGUGCCAGGAUGGGCUCCAAAGCCACACAGAGAAACUCUAUCUCGAAAAACCAAAAAAAAAAAAAAAAAAAAAAGAAAAAAAAGAAAAGAAAAGAAAAGAAAAAAGAAAAAAAAAAGAAAUGACAACACUGGGGCUGGAAUGAUGGCUCAGAGGUUGAGGUUAAGAGCACUGGCUGCUCUUCCAGAGAACCUGAGUUCAAUUCCCAGCACCCACAUGGUUGCUCACAACCAUCUGGUGUGCAAGGAUACAUGCAGGCAGAACACUGUAAACAUAAUAAAUAAAUACAUUUUUUUAAAAAAAAGAAAUCCCAGCAACCAUACAGGAAUAUGAUCAAAUGUGAUGCUGACAUACAGGCCAUGUUAACAUUCUUCUUGACACUGGCUUCUCCGUUAACAGUGAUUUAGAUGAAAAUCUAUGUAAAUGACCAAUGUGAGACAAAUCCUCAGGUAAAUAUUCCAAAUAGAUAAUCUAUUCUCACUCAGCCACAGAUAAACAACUCAACUAAAACUAGACAAUGAGCUUGAACAGGAUCUUCUUUGGAAUAGUCUACAGAUUACAAAUAGUCAAUAGAUAGACGAGAAGAAGAUGCCAAACACCCUCAAUCACCUAGGAGAGGACAUCAAAACUACAAGGAGAUGCUUCCUCUCACCUGUCAGGGAGCUGUUAUCAAGAAGACAAAUGGUAACAAAUAUGCGAAAAGCUGUGGGGGACAGGAGCCCUGUCCACUGUUGACAAGGAUGUACAGUGAUUAUGACAGAUGAGAAGAACCUCAAUGGGGGGCCUCCAAACUAUUGAAACAGAUGCUAUCUCCAUCUCUCAAGUGAUACAGCAAUUAUAAAGGUUAAGAGGGUAAAUCACCUGUUAGACUUCCUCACCACAAAAACAAGCAAGCAAAGAGAUGCCAGGAGCUGUAGGAUUUGGUGGAUGUGUCUAGUAUGGUGAAAUUUGCAUAUUCCCAACUCAUCAAGUUGUCCACAUCAAAUAUGUAUGGUUCCUCGUGUAUCAGUUAUCCUAAAAUGAAGCUGGCAGAAAACCAGGAGGUGGAUCUUAGAGUUUCUGAGUUGCUUCCACUGUCAAAACCAAACUGACCAAAGAAUUCCAAAGCACUCAGCAUUUUUGUUGGCUUUGGUAAAUUGGAGUCUGAUCAUUUCCCUUUUUUUUUUAAUUAAAUAUUUUCUUGAUGAUUUCUCUGUCACUUGUGUUUCAGGCACACCCUCACUAGGUCUGUGUCUUACUUUGUGUGAGAAAACACUGUGGCUAAAAACACAGAAGGAGGAAGAGGCUUUCUUUCAGCUUUCAGUCCCACAGCACGGUUGUGGUGGCUUGAAUGAAAAUGGCUCCUAUAUCCCCAUGAAGAGUGGAACAAUUAGGAGGGGUGCCCUGUCGGAGUGGUUGCAGUGUUGUUGGAGGAAGCAUGUCAUUGAGGGCGGGCUCUGAGGUCUCAGAAGCUCAAGCCAAGCCUAGAGGUUCACUGUCUGUUCCUGCUGCCUGCAGAUGCAGACAUAGGACUCUCAGCUACCUCUCCAGCACCAUGUCUGCCACCAUAACAAUAAUGGAUUAACCCUCUAACCUGUAAGCCAGCCCCAAUUAAAUGUUUUCCUCAGCCAAGGCAGUGGUGGUGCACGCCUUUAAUCCCAGCACUCAGGAACCAGAGGCAGGUGGAUCUCUGAGUUCAAGGGCAGCCUGGUCUACACAAUGUGUUCCAGGACAGCCAAGGCUACACACCCUGUCUCAAAAAGUCGGAAAAAAAAAAAAACUUUUCCUUUAUAAGAGUUGCCUUGGCUCAUCACUGGAGCAAGUCAAGCAGGGCAGGAACCUGGAGGCAGGAGCUGAUGCAGAGCCACACAGGAACACUGCUUACUGGGUUUCCCCCCAUGCCUUUUCAGCCUGCUUUCUUUCAGCAUCCAGCACCACCAGCCCAGGGGUGGCACUGUCCGGUUAGCUGGGCCCCUCCUACAUCAAUCACCAAUUAAGAAAAUGUACAGAAGGUACUCUGUAGGCUACUAAAAGAAACAUGGACACCAACCCAGUCACAAAACCUUUGACCUACAAUCUGUCCCACCUGAAAAAUAGGGCAAUGGUGCCACAGAACUUGUGGGAGUGGCCAAGCAGCAUCUGAUUUGAUUAAAAGCCCACUCCACAAAAAGGAAUGCAUACCCAACACUGCUUGGGUAACAAGAACCAGAGACUAGAUAGUUCAGAGACCUAGGGGAAAAACAAAACACUACUGGCAAGGGAGAAAAGGAGGGAGGGAAGCAGAGAGGGGAGAGAGAGAGAGAGAGAGAGAGAGAGAGAGAGAGAAGCUUCCUCUGGCAGAAGAUGGGAAGAGAUGCAGAGACCCAUAGUAGAGAAAGAGGCUAAAUUGGAGGUCUCCAUCAAAUCCCUCCCCUCAGAGCUCACAGGGUCCCUUGGAAGGAGAGGCUGGAGGACACCUGGAGAACAAGGCCCUCUGAAUCAGCUAAGCAAAGUACAUAUGAGCUCACAGAGACUGAGGCAGCAGUCACAGGGCCGACAGGGGUCUGCACCAGGUCCUCUGCAUCUGUACCACAGCUGUCAGCUUACUGUUUUUAUGGGACUCCUAACUGUGAGAACGAGUGAUGUCUGACUCCUGUGCCUGCUCUGGGGACUCUUCCUCCUACUGGGCUGCCAUGUCGGACUGCAGUAUCUCAUGUUUUACUUCAUUGUAUUAUUUUGCUUUGCCAUGUUUGGUUGCUAAUCUCUUAGAAGCCUGUUCUUUUCUACCGAGAGACAGAAGGCGAGUGGAUCCAGAGGAAAGAGGAAGUGGGGAGGAAGUCGGAGGAGAAGAGGAAGAAAGAAUAGAGGGGUUGAAAAGCUGGUUGGGCUCUGGGAUGUGCCCACAGGACACUGUUAUUUUACCUUGGAAGAAGAAAAGGGGAUCAAAUAAAAGCAUCCAAGCCUCACUUUGGGGGAGAGCCGAACAAGAGGGAAGUGAUGGUAGAAAGAAAAGCAUGGGCUCAAGGAAGCCCUCACAGCCCUCGACUGUUCUACAAAUCACAACUACAACAUCACAGUGGCACUGAGACGGGGGGAUGGCUUUGCCAGUUGCAUGCUUAGAGCCACCUCAUCAACAGUGUUAAGGACAAAAUCCUAGAGCCCUCGGGUGUGGAAAGAGAGAAAACUCAGACAGAAAAACAGCAAUGACAAAUACCAAGGAGGAGAUGAGGAACUCAAGACCCCUGCAAAGGUAAGAUUGUGUGGUAAGAUAGCGCGGACAGCCAGAUGUGCCAAGUGUUGAAAAGAGAAGAAGGAAAAGAUGGCUGAGAUAUGCCCAAGAGUUUUGUCAAUAUGUGGCCACCGGUACCACCUGUAAUUCUGUGUUUGCCUCUGAAGCACAUUCCUGAAAGGAAACACGGGUGAAGAGACAUAUUAGCAAAACUAAGACAGAGAAAUCUCUUGCUGGGUAGAAGAGUUGAAUCUGAAAAGUGUGAGCCAUGAAGACAACUAAACAAUGUCCAGAUCACUGCAACAGGAUGGAGAGAUGUGGAGGACACUAGCCUCAAACUUGGCGCAGAGACAAGACAGAGCCAGCCUUGGAAUUCAAUUCUGUAAGCUGGGCCUGCUGUUGAGGAGGGCAGAUGGCAAGAGGAGGACUGGCCAAGGAGGACAAAUGCUGUCACAAUGGGCCAUGAAGUCUUCACCAAGUAGAGAGAGCGUGAAAGAGAACAUGGCCAAUUCUAGGAAAUGAGUCAAGGGCAUCCAAACAGCAUCGGAGAAUUGGAGAUCACUGGGAUCCUGCCAGUGGAGUGUGGCUCACGGACAAGACUCCAGUCCUCAGGCCCCUUCUUUUCUUACUCCUGUAUCCUCUCUUCCCAGAUUUCUCCUCCUAUAUAUUCUCUCUGCCUUCCAGCCCGUUCUCUCUCCUGCUUAGCUAUUGGCCAUUCAGCUCUUUAUUAGACCAAUCAGAUGUUUUAGACAGGUAAAGUAAAUGCAACCUCACGGAGUUAAGCCUCACGGAGUUAAGCAAAUGCAACCUUAACAAAUAUAACCCAUCUUUGCAUCAUUAAACAAUACUCCACAGAACAAGCAAAUGUAACACAUCUUCAGCUAAUAUUCCACACAAGGUAGGUGCCAGGUAAUGACACAUGUCUUUAAAUCCUCUUUAUUCUGUCAGCACCACAUACAAUGACAUACUUUACUAAGUUCUCAUUCAAACAUACACAUGCAUGUAAUGAUAAGUGUUUCUGCCAAGCUGCUCAGGCCCUGCUUCCAUAUGGGCGCUUUCCGCCAGGCCGCUCAAGUUCUACCCGACACCACGUUAAGGUCCCAAAUAACACAGAGAGACUUCUAUUAGGUACAAAUGCUGUUUGGCCAAUGACUAGGAUUUCUCACCUGCUAGCUCAGUCUUAAUUAUCAUAAAUAUAUAUUUUAUAAGACUUAUACAGGACGCCUUCCGGUGGUUCCCUCUCUUGCCGGCAGAUCACAUGGCAACUCCAGAGCAGAGACCAGGAGGAAGAGAGAAGGGGACAACUUCCUUCUUACCCUUGCUUAUAUAUGAGUCUCUCUGUUAUGUCACUUCCUGCCUGGAUCACCACUUUUUUACUACAUUUCCCAGAAUCCUCCUUGACUCCUAGUCCCACCUAACUUGCUGCCUCAUUGGCCAAAUAGUACUUUAUAUAUCAUCCAAUAAGACAAUCAUAUACACAGAAGGACCUCCCCCAUCACAUGCACACACACAGAGUGAGCAGAAAUAAAAUCAUCCCUGUCCAUAGCAGGUCAGGAAUCGGUCUCCUCUUUCUUCUCCAUGCAUCACAAGGGCAGAGGAUGAAAGCUUGGGACAUUCAUCAAUGAGCACACUGGUUCUCCUUCAUAACAUGGCAGAAGACAUCACACAGUGUCAUGUGGUGACAGGGUGGCUUCUGUUCUCUAAUCUAUCAUAACUUUUCCCACUGUGAUUGUCCUGUUCCCUCAAUUACCUUAAUCUAUCAGAAGGGCAGACUUGUGGUGACCUUAAACACUUCCUAAAGGCUCUGUCUCCAGUCUCACCACAGUAACAAAUUUCAGAGGGCUCCUCUGUGUCAGUCUCUCAGUACGUGGGGGCCACAAUGAUAACAAGGGAGAGGACAUCUAAUGAACAUCGAGGACUAAAUAUAAGGUGUGUUCUGUGGUGAUAUUUUGUUUGUGAUCUAACAAAUAAAGCUUGAAGAUUAGAGUGCAGAGCUAGCCACACUAGUUAGCCAUAGAGGCCAGGCAGUGGUGGUACACACCUUUAAUCCCAGCACUCAGGAGACAGAGGCAAGCGGAUCUCUGUGAGUUCAAGGCCACCCUGGACUACACGAAAUUGAUCCAGUCAAAAAGAGAAACAGCCAAGUGGUGGUGGCUCACACAUUUAAUCCCAGUACUUGGGAGUCACAUGUGUUUAAUCCCAACACAAGGGAGGUGGAGGCAGGAGAAAUGUGGCUGGGUAAAGAGAAGAAUAUAAGGUGGGAUAGUUCCUAUCAAAACACAGCAAUGCAAAGAUGCUCAGUAGAAGACAACCUUGGGAAGUUGGAGCUUUAGGAGAAUUUAGUAUUCCCUUGUAAUAUUCAUACCUGAUGUACUCUCUACCAGACACCGCCCCCCUCUCCCCAGGUCCCU